This 267-nucleotide long non-coding RNA is filed under the name Prunus dulcis (almond). RNAcentral's name for it is "sRNA ncRNA". Lineage: Eukaryota; Viridiplantae; Streptophyta; Magnoliopsida; Rosales; Rosaceae. The record is from RNAcentral.
ACGUAUAUUUCAAAAUAUAAAAAGCAAAGAUUAUAUCGUAUUAAAGAAAGAUAUCUUCAUUAAAAAAAAGAAGGAAAUUAAAAAGGAAUGAAAUCAAGAGAAUAUGUAGAACAUUUUGAAAAUAAAGAAUCGACUACAAGAUUAUGGAAUCAUAAUCAUAUAAGCUCGGGUGUGCGCUUUGGAAUCCUUGUUUGCUAAUCGUAAUUAAUUUUGAACUCAUUGAUAAAGGAAAAUAAAGAAAACCCCCCAUUUUGAACUUUACCAAGC